UUCAUCAAAAGUGGCACUUACAUUAACCAAAAAUAAAAAAAAUGGCACUUAAAAUCUGAUUAUUUGAUUAUUUCUUUAUGGACUAUUAAUCUGAUUAUUUGAUUAUUAAUCUGAUUAUUUGCUAUUUGGUCACUUAAAAUCAAUUUAAUGGCUGCUACUUCUGUUAGCUGUUUUUAGUCAUUAUUCCUUAAAAUUCUUACAUACUGUACUACUUGUGAUUAAAAUUCUAACCCCAUUUAUCUUAUGGUAGCUAUCAUCAAAAUUGUGGACAGUAGCUAACAAAGUGGAAACAUAUACAAACAAAUGGAAGUACUCCGGUUUGUGAUUCCAUAUGCGCCCUAAUAGCCAGGAUGGUGAAACAUUAUCUCAACUAAUCAGGAUACAUGGUCCUAAUCUAAUCACAUAAAACGAUAUGGUUUAGAAAUGCUAUGCAGUUCCCAUCAUUUUUUUUUUUGUUAGAGCCCUAUCACAUCUAUCUUCUAUCAAUGUAAUAGUAGUGAAAAGGCACUUGUAAUGUGGGAGGAGCUGUAAAGGCACAAAGGUUUGAGAUAAACUGCCAACAACUUUUAAAUCAUAUAGAAGUAAUUGCGCUUCAUUUCGUGUGGCCUUCUUGUUCUGCUGUGCUGGUUUAAAUGCCUUACUUCUAUGUGAUUGUUGUGAUUAUAAUGUUGUCUACCUUUUAGCAUUAUGAACAAAGGGACUGUGAUGAAACUUUAGUAAUGCGUCAUAGGAUUGUAGAGUAAAUGGUGGAAAGCAGAAAUGCAUUUGUUUUCAACCCCCUCUUUGUCGUCUCCGGCUAGCCCUUUAUUUUCUUCUUGUCUGCUGUCUGUAAUAAAAUGAGUGAUUCCAACUUCAUAUUUACUUUUAUUGUUAUCUUUUUAAAUUAAGUGCUAGCCUUUAAUAUUUGGAUAAUGACUAUGAAUAUCUUUCCUGGAAAUGUCAUAUGAUAUCAGGUUAGACUGGAUCCUUCUAGGCCCUUAAGCAAGCGGAAGCAUUGGGUUGUUGCUGAAAUUCUGAAGAAAGCACGUAUUUAUGUGCCACCAUCAGCUGAUAGCUUUGUGGGUUUAGAUGGCAAAACUGAAGCACAAACUUCUGCAGCCUCUUGAACUUAGAUCAAAAUCAAUGUGCCUUCUGGGUUUGUUUUUUCAAUUUCUUCUAGCUUUAUUUUGGAAACGAUGAAUUGUGAGAAUGUGUAAGCUCGUGGUCGUAGGCUUCAUAAUGUUGAAAGUUGCAUCACUAAAUGUAUAACCUAUACUAUUUUAUGGGCUUUUUUAUAUUUUAUCUCAUGCGUCUUUUUCUAGUCUUAUUUAAAUAAUAAGGAAAAUUUUGGAAAAAUAUGGUAACAGCAUCUGGUACGCUCACCAUCUUACUGUGAUUCGUGUUGGCUAGCUUGGUUGUGCUUCCUGUUUCAUAAAUAAAGUGAUUUAGCUGUUCAGCAUUAUAUCUUUGGAUCCAAUGAUGUAUUAGUAUGUGGAGUUUGAGGUGUCUUACCAUAUUGCAUUUUGAUUCUUGUUUUACGAUACUACUUUUAUUAUUAGUAGUAGUAGUAUUAUUAAUUUUUCAUUAUCUUCU
RNAcentral lists this long non-coding RNA (1572 nucleotides) under Manihot esculenta (cassava). RNAcentral describes it as "long non-coding RNA (MESC_LNC001705)". Lineage: Eukaryota; Viridiplantae; Streptophyta; Magnoliopsida; Malpighiales; Euphorbiaceae. The record is from RNAcentral.